CUAAUCUCCAAAAUGGGGCUCCAGUGAGGUCUUGAUGGGCUGCCUGGUGCUGGGCCCAGAACUAACAGCACACGCAGCUAGAAGCCCCCUCUCCCAGGGAGUUGCCUGCAACCCCCAGACCCCUUCACUGCAGCCUUGUUUCUCCACAGUUAUAAUCCAGUCAGAGGCAGCAGCUUGCAGUCCAGCUGCGGUGGUUACCAGCAGGGACCCUGGGCCGUGACUUAACUGCCUUUGCCUCAGUUUCCUCAGGCUCUACGGGGAUGGCAGCUGCCUCCUGGGGCUGAGGUAGCUACCAGCUGUUGGUGGCGUGCCUGACCCCGGGGCUCUCCUGCAGGCCUUGGCCCGUGGACCCGUUGCUCUCUGUAGCUUGUUUCCUCUGCGUCUCCCACCCUGGAUGGCUUCUCUCACUUCUGAUGGAUGCCCCCAGAGGAACACGAGGCCCUCUCCCUAAGCGCUCAGGAUGGGGACAAUUUCCAGGGAUGCGGCAGAACAGCAGAGUCUUGCACUACCCUGCAACCUGUCCUCCCGCGGUCCAUUCUGGGAGAAGCCUCAAGGGUCUAAAGACAAGGAGACACACUCGUGGACGUCACGGAACUUGCUCAACAUGAGGAAUGAUGUCAAAACGAUGGAACAGUGACUCUGUGCCAUGCACUGUGCCAAGUCCCACAGAUAGGUCAUCUCAUUCAAACGUCAAAGCAACCCAAUGCAGAGGGAGUAUUUUAAUUUCCCUUUUAUCAAUAAUGAAAAUGUCUCAGAGAGAUGAGUAGACAGCACCCAAGUUCAGAUCCCUGGUAAGCAUCAGGGCCAGAGGUAAAACCAAGUCUCCUGAUUCUAAAACCGUUACAGCAAAGAUGAUAAACUGCCUCCAGGGAAGCAAUAAGACAGAAUCAUUAUAACAAAGCAGUGUAUGUGCAACCAGAAAGGGAGGUGAGGGCAUGAUGCGGCCCUCAGUAACCGUGGAAUCUAAAUGGGGUUUUGAGGGAUGAAUAGGAGUUCUCCAAAGGGACAAGUGGGAGAAGAGUGUUCCAGGCAGAGGGAACAUGUACAAAUGCACAGAGGUGAUAAGCUGCCUGGUGCCUUCAAAGACCAUGAGCUGGAUGCUGGAAAAUGGGGAAGGGAGGAGGUCAGAUCUAAGCCAAGCUAAGCCCCUUGGUACUUAU
Molecule: long non-coding RNA, 1160 nt
Organism: Ovis aries (sheep)
Lineage: Eukaryota; Metazoa; Chordata; Mammalia; Artiodactyla; Bovidae
Source: Ensembl